This is an RNA transcript of Papaver somniferum (opium poppy), 1763 nucleotides long. RefSeq lists it as uncharacterized. The transcript is spliced from 3 exons. The record is from RefSeq and is a predicted model, not a curated record. NCBI's taxonomy places the organism in Eukaryota, Viridiplantae, Streptophyta, Magnoliopsida, Ranunculales, Papaveraceae.
CAUCCUCAAGAAAUGAAUCUAUUUAAUUUUUAGUACCAGAUUCACCCUUUCGAUUAUACACUAGAUAUGAUGUUGUUUCCACCGAUUGGAAUCUAUCGAUCAAAUUUUCUCUUUCUCCUUCUGUCUCCAUUUUUCUUUCAGCCAUCACCAGAUUCACCACCACAACCACCACCACCACCACCAUGUCCGUUGCAUCCAAUAGAUCCGGAAUCAAUCGAAACUAUCAUCAACAUCAUAUGGUUCGCGUUCAGAGAGAGGUUGUUCUUCUUAUAAAGAUUAAUUUCCGAAUCAGAUUGAAAGAGAUCGAGAUCUGAUUUUAGGUUUAUAUUUUGAGGAAAUUUAGAGUUGAACUUGUUCAAAUUAUUGAAGCUCAAGAAGUAAUUUUGAUGAUGGUGGUGGUGUUGCGGUGGUGAAGGAAGAGGUAUGAUGUUUUUUAUUUCGUUCUACAGAUAUAAUUUAAGUUAUAUCUAUUUUUAAACUGGUGAUGAAGAUAAAUUGGGAUUGUAUUGAUUAUCAUUUUUCUCUUGCUUAAGUUUCUGGUGGUGGUGGUGUUUAACAUGAUUGUUGUUAUAAGUGGAGGUAAGGUUAUAAUGAUGAAAUUAAUUGUCGGUAGAGAUAAUGAUGGCUCUGGUUGUGGUUGUGGUUGCGGUGAUAGUGAUGGUGGAGAUUGGGUGUGGCCGUGGUUGUUGGGAGUUGGUGGAAGUGGUGAUACUUCUGGCAAUUAUCAAUGCCUUCGCCUGUAUUUUCUGGUAUUAGGACAAGUCUAUACGCCUCUGCCUCGUGACAUUGUCACAUUUGUUGUAACAUAUUUAUCAUUCAAUCUGCUCUAUGAUUAUGUGGUUACAUUACAUAUGAUCAUUCAAUCUUUUAGCCUUGCUUAAUGUGCCAAAGGUAGGCAUCAGUAAGAGUGACUCAACUUCGAUAGAUGAUCAUAGUUGUUGGCAAAGAUCAGAAGACAUGAAUUAUCCCCGUCCGUCGAAAUGAUUAUUGAUACUUUUGUUUUACUACUUUGUUUUCUACAGAAUGGUGUAAAAAUAAGGUCAUCUUGAUGUCUGAAAAGCAGACUGGAAAGCAAAUGGUACAGGGGGAAGCUUUAAAAGCUCUAGCACCAGUAGCUGAUUAGUCACUAGUACCUUGUGGCAUCUGCCUUACAUUUUAUAUGCAUUUUGCAGGUUUAUGUUACCUUUGAAGAUGAAGGAGGUGCUCAAAGCAAGGGGAUCAGGAUAAAGCUUAUGGUUAAGUCUCUAUCAAACUGGAUAAAGCUCGAGUUUCUUCCUUCUGUGUCUUUUGAUUGUAAGGGCUGUCUUCUAAUUAGACAACCUUUAUAUCUUGGUGACGCAAGGAACUUUGUUUCUGUUGGUGGCGGCAUUACCGAAGUUCGAAGGUUCCAUUCUAGUUUCCAUACCGCAGAGUGGUUUAACCUUGACCAAGCUUGCAGGGUUGUGAAGGCUUGCUGCAAAAGAAGGCGUACAAAAUACUAUGCAUUAGUCUCGAGGUUGUCACGGAUUGUGCAAGUCUCUGGCUUUUCAGAUUUAACAUCAUUCUCCAGUGUUAGUGGUUGACACUAUUUUCUUGAUCUUACUUGUAGUGCUUCAGGGAAUAGUCUAAAUGAGCUUGUUCUGAUAUUAAUGAUCUGUGUUUUGGUACCCUUGAUUUGAGUUAAACAAGUAGAUUCUGCAAAAAUGUGUAAUUUUUCUACUUUCUUGUUCAGGAAUGAAUCUGAUUCAAACACAAUGAAAUAUAGUUUUUCUAUUAGACUUUUC